ACGUAGGAGGCGAGCGUUAUCCGGAUUUACUGGGCGUAAAGCGCGUGCAGGCGGUGCGAUAAGUCGUGCGUGAAAGCGCUCUGGCUCAACCGGGCGAGGGCGUGCGGAACUGCUGAACUAGAGGCAGGUAGAGGCGUGUGGAAUUCCGGGUGUAGUGGUGAAAUGCGUAGAGGUCCGGAGGAACACCAGUGGCGAAGGCGACGCGCUGGGCCUGACCUGACGCUGAGAUACGAAAGCGUGGGGAGCAAACAG
Molecule: ribosomal RNA, 252 nt
Filed under: uncultured prokaryote
Description: partial 16S ribosomal RNA
Rfam family: Bacterial small subunit ribosomal RNA
Source: RNAcentral